CAGGAACUAGAAGAUGACAACACAAUAUUGAAACAACAGUCAAUCUCCAAAGCUUUUUCACCAACUCAUACUUGUAAAUAGGGGUACAAGUACAACAAGUGUAGUUAAAUACAACAAAUAUUCAGUAAGUAUAUUCCACUCUCCCCAACAAAGUAGUGACAAAAAUUUACUUAAAAUACUAACUUCUGAACUUGUGCAAUUAUUAUGUCCAGCAAUAACAAUAAUACCAAAGCACGGAAACAGCAUAAACGAGUAUGCACAAAUAAAGCAUAUAAAAAUAUGCAUGUCCCGCAUCUGGCAGGAUGCACACAGUUGUUGAUAAAAUGAGCAAAGUCACCAGUUUUCUGAUGAGUAACUGACAAACCACCCAACUUUUUUGUUUUUUUUUGUUUUCUAUCCGGUGUUCGGAGCCUACAUUGGAACCCCGACUAAGUUUGAAUCACGCAUUGUAGGACUCAUUCUGGGGUGACGCUCCCAACAAGAUUUUCUUCUUAAGACAAUAUGAUAUUGAAUUCCCCUCCUA
Molecule: long non-coding RNA, 523 nt
Filed under: Solanum tuberosum (potato)
Lineage: Eukaryota; Viridiplantae; Streptophyta; Magnoliopsida; Solanales; Solanaceae
Description: long non-coding RNA (STUB_LNC011307)
Source: RNAcentral